This 252-nucleotide ribosomal RNA is filed under the name uncultured bacterium. RNAcentral describes it as "partial 16S ribosomal RNA". It matches the Rfam family "Bacterial small subunit ribosomal RNA", at positions 524 to 776 of the family's 1533-position model. The record is from RNAcentral.
UACGAAGGGGGCUAGCGUUGCUCGGAAUCACUGGGCGUAAAGCGCACGUAGGCGGGUUGUUAAGUCGGGGGUGAAAUCCUGGAGCUCAACUCCAGAACUGCCUUCGAUACUGGCGACCUUGAGUCCGGGAGAGGUGAGUGGAACUCCGAGUGUAGAGGUGAAAUUCGUAGAUAUUCGGAAGAACACCGGUGGCGAAGGCGGCAUCCUGGACCGACACUGACACUGAGGAGCGAAAGCCAGGGAGCAAACGGG